GACGAACGCUGGCGGCGUGCUUAACACAUGCAAGUCGAACGGAAAGGCCCUGCUUUUGUGGGUUGCUCGUUUGCGGAAGGGGGGUGAAUAACGCGUGUAUCCUGCCCUUGUAUUUGGGGUAUAUCCUGGAAAAUGGGGAGAUAACCGGAUAGGAUAUCUUGCGCCGCGGUGGGGGUUGGUAAGUUCGGGCGGUGGGGUAUGGAAUCGCGGCUUACCCGCUGGUUGGGGGGGUAGUGGCGUUCAAGGCCUUUGAAGGGUAGCCGGCCUGGGAGGGUGGCCGGCGACAUGGGGACUGAGAGACGGCCCAGACGCCUACGGGAGGCAGCAGUGGGGAAUAUGGCACAAUGGGCGGAAGCCUGAUGCAGCAACGCCGCGUGCGGGAUGACGGCCUUCGGGUUGUAAACCGCUUUCGCCUGUGACGAAGCGUGAGUGACGGUAAUGGGUAAAGAAGCACCGGCUAACUACGUG
Molecule: ribosomal RNA, 468 nt
Filed under: uncultured bacterium
Lineage: Bacteria
Description: partial 16S ribosomal RNA
Rfam family: Bacterial small subunit ribosomal RNA
Source: RNAcentral